GCCUAGUUAGCUUGGUUGGUAGCGCGUCUGCCUUGUAAGCGCUAGGCCGCGGGUUCGAGUCCCGCCCGAGGUG
Molecule: transfer RNA, 73 nt
Filed under: Diaphorina citri (Asian citrus psyllid)
Lineage: Eukaryota; Metazoa; Arthropoda; Insecta; Hemiptera; Psyllidae
Rfam family: tRNA
About the family: Transfer RNA (tRNA) molecules are approximately 80 nucleotides in length. Their secondary structure includes four short double-helical elements and three loops (D, anti-codon, and T loops).
Source: Rfam by way of RNAcentral